RNAcentral lists this ribosomal RNA (110 nucleotides) under uncultured Basidiomycota. Its description in RNAcentral is "partial 5.8S ribosomal RNA". It matches the Rfam family "5.8S ribosomal RNA", at positions 48 to 154 of the family's 154-position model. From Rfam's summary of the family: 5.8S ribosomal RNA (5.8S rRNA) is a component of the large subunit of the eukaryotic ribosome. It is transcribed by RNA polymerase I as part of the 45S precursor that also contains 18S and 28S rRNA. Lineage: Eukaryota; Fungi; Basidiomycota. The record is from RNAcentral.
GCGAAAUGCGAUAAGUAAUGUGAAUUGCAGAAUUCAGUGAAUCAUCGAAUCUUUGAACGCACCUUGCGCUCCUUGGCAUUCCAUGGAGCAUGCCUGUUUGAGUGUCACGU